AGCGAGGACGAGUCUGCUCGGUCUUGGAAGAAAUUCGUUCGACGCGUUCAAGAUUGAAGUCAUUUAAGUGGUCCUGAUCACCGGCAGGCUGGACACAACGACUGAGGGACGGAGACAACGAACUUUGUGCUUCAUGCACGAACGUUGAUGCGUGAAUUAGAGAAGCCGAGAGUGCAUUUUGCACCUCGAUUACACAAGCAAGUUACGUCAAGCGAUGUCGUAAAUGGGUGAGUCAAUCGUCUACUGUGGUUGGUGUUACGUUCUGUGGAAGAAACGGAAGUUGGGGAAGAACAGCUAUCCAAAGGUGUGGAAGAGAUAAAGAAGCGUGACCACAGAGCAGCUGCAGUAGUGAAGGAGAGACGCAGUGGUCAUCGUUCAUCCAUAUACGUUGUGCCCCGUGUGUUCGGCGUUUGUGCAUCAUGACAAUGCACGCUCGCGAUGGACAAGCGUCAAUCCUGAAAUGGAUAUAAUUUUCGAAUAAAGGUAUUUGUUUGUUAUA
Molecule: long non-coding RNA, 499 nt
Organism: Ornithodoros turicata
Lineage: Eukaryota; Metazoa; Arthropoda; Arachnida; Ixodida; Argasidae
Exons: 3
Source: RefSeq, a predicted model, not a curated record